Molecule: long non-coding RNA, 7233 nt
Organism: Parus major (Great Tit)
Lineage: Eukaryota; Metazoa; Chordata; Aves; Passeriformes; Paridae
Exons: 2
Source: RefSeq, a predicted model, not a curated record
ACUAUGAAAAUAAGGCCUUGUAAUUCAAGGUCUUCAAGAAAACAUAUUGGAUUUGACAAUCAGAAUUAGUUCUAGAUAUAGACAUAAAUAAAAACCCCAGAAUGGAGGCACUACAAACUGGGAACUAGGAAGAAAAGUUCAUUGUAUUAAGUAGUUUGGUCUGACACAACUCCAGGCCAUUCCCACAGGUCCUGUCAUUGGCACCAGAGAGAAGAGAUCAGUGCCUGUUCCUCCUCUUCCCCCCAGGAGGAAGCUGUCACUGCAGUGAGGUCUGUCCUCAGUCUCCUCCAGGCUGAACAGACCAAGUGCCUUCAGCCACGUCUCUCAUGGCUUACUCUCCUGACCCUUCACAUCUUCACAGCCCUCCUUUAGAUGCUCUCUAAUAACUUUAUAUCUUAUAUACCAGCACCCAGAACAUAGUACUUUAGUAUCCAUGGCCUGUAGUUAUUUUUAAGCUAAAAUGUCCCAGUUUCAGUUUCAGCUUCACCUGAGGCAUCUUGUUAUUUAUUCCUCUAAAGAUGAUUAGUAAUUAAAAAAAAAAAAAAAAUUAAAUUCCAGGGUGUUGUGUAAAAAAUAUGGACUAAGGAGGACAACCAGAGCUCUUAGUGUUUACCACUGGUAUAGAAUCAUUAAAGGACAUGAGAGAGUGUUUAUUAGAAAUUACCUUUCUUCUGCAGAGGCAGGUAUGGCUGUUAAGCACAUAAUGAAAUAUAAGAGCACUCUGUCUACAGGCUCAUUAAUGAGCCUUUGCUGGUGCUACAUCAGCAGUUGCUUUGUUUUAGUGAUGUGCUGUUUUUUAACAAGGCCUUGGCAUGCUGCCAUUAACUCGGUUUUAUGUCUCCUUGGUGUUUUCAUAGCCACAGGCCAGAUGGUUUCAGCAUUAUAUUCUUCCUCUAAAUGAAAGCUGAUCACGGUGUUCCAAAUUACCUUCAUUCUACAUGCUAUAUAUUUUGUUGUGUAUCACUGUGCAUUCAGUGUUAGUAAUUUCAGCUUAAAGUAAACUUAGGAAAUUUUGCAUUUUGGAAUUAUGCAGCAGGUAGAGCUGGUGACUAAGCACAGCUGUCAGUGGGGCUGUUACUUUCUUGGGAUUUGUAGGAUAGGGUACAGCAAUUGCUUGGAAAUUUCCUUUUUAAUGUUCAGUGCGUGAUUAAAUGGUGCACUAGCCUGGGAGGCGUGGGUAGACAGUGCAGUGGUUUACUAUCACAGCAUUUAGGUGUUUCCCCUUGACAUCCUUUGCAAAAACAAACUCCUGUUAGUGAGCCUGAUGUGAUGGGCAGGGAAAUACCUGGUAAUGCUGAAUGCAAGGCUCCGGUUCUUUGUCCCCUUCCUCACCUGGGCAAAUUAACUUUACAGCUUUCACUCAUCCUGGUGGGAUAACUUCUCAUUCUGCACUGAUUACAUCAUGGCUGCUCUCUUGCCUGCUCCUAAAUGUGUGUCUGGAUUUGAGAACUCCAGAAAUGAGCUCUCGGUGAGGCAGGGCAGUGGGAAGGCAGGAGCUAUGAGGGAACUACUUCUCUGCUGCACCCAGAAGAGGGUAGGACUGUAAAAGGUUGUUAGUGGCACAUAUCCAGGAGACAAGAGUUUUUCUGGUGAAACAGGUACCUUGAAAAAGGAAGAAUAUAUAUAACAGAAGCUCAUCUGUAGUUGUGGCUGAAUGAUGCAGUAAAAUGCAGUCGCAUGAGCAUAGCAAAAAUGAUAACAAGACAGAGAAUAUCAGCAGCUGGGAACAGUAUUGCUGGUGCCCACAGUUUGCUGCAGCAGCCAGUAGUGCCUAGACAAGAGAGUACAACCAAGACAAGGGGUUCCAUAUUCCUCUAUAGCUUAAACUCAUUGCAUACAAUGCAAAACGUCCCUUCCAUUCCUCAUUCCAGGAGGAAAUAAUUAAACUGGAAGAUAGAGAAAUUACAUUAGGAAAAAAAAAACCAACAAAACAAAAACAAAAAAAACGUCUCAAGCUGCAUAUUCCAUGAGAAUUUUUUUUCUAUUUUAGUUUUUUUUUUUAAUUACUGUAAAAUUUGAACAAAUUCAAAUAUUUUCCAAACUUUGCAAAUGGGAUGUUAUUGUGAGAGGAUGCCAGAUCCUGGGUGAGGAGGGGGAGGGGUGUUUGUGAGGAAUUAAUGAUCUGCAAAAUCUCCUCUUUAGGUUUACAGUGUCUGUGUCUUGGAUUUCAUAUGUCAUGUAGAAAAUUGACUAGUCUGAUUUUUUAAAAAGUUAGGGAUGCACCCAUUUGCUUAUUGCAUAAACUAUCAAGUGAACUGAUUUGUAUGCCAGCCAUAUUUCUGACAGCUGUUUUGCAUUCAUUGUGGCAAAACCACACUACCACACUCCCUUCCACGUUUAGAAAAUAUCUCUCCUACCUGCAGCAGGAAUUUAUACAGCCUUGCUGAUUUUGUUUUCCCAAGUGGUUUGGAAACUGUUUGGUUUCAAUCUGUCUCUAUCAACAUUAAAACUGCAUUUGGUCUUUUGAGCUUUUCUAGAAACUUCUGAAAAGAAGAACUUAGCUUUGUGAAGCAGAAGUGGCGAGAACUGCUGCUGUACAGGUACAAAGAUCCUUUGCCUGUUUAUUUGUUUUGAAAGCAUUUGUGUUCGAAUUUAGCUUUUUCAAUCAAUAGGUUGAAUAGGUAGCCCGUAGCUAUCUCCGAGUAGAAAACCAACACAUCUCACUAGAGGGAGCCCAGACACAAUUUCUGAUCUUGGUAAGGAGCUAUUACAGCUCACCCUGUUACUUGCCGCGUGUUUUGUUGAUAAAUCUCUCCAGCUGAUUAACUUACAGUCCCCGUGUGGGCAGCUACAUAGCCUGCAUUAUGAAAAGUACACUGAGAUUUCAACUGCAGAUAAUUUGCAAAUCAAUACUGAGCUGGGCAGGGAAACCUCAAAUUUUAUUUUGUUUGUUAGCACUGGUAAAUAUUACCGGAAUACAUUUUUUGAAACCAUAAAAAUGGGUCAGAAGAGUUUUGUUUCACUUCCUGCCUGCCUAUUACCUGCUAGUGCUUUCUUCCCCUUCACUAGAACCUCAGAUCCGUGUACUGACACCCUUCUGCUGCACGUCCUGUUCCUACAAACCAGUGUACCUGCCUCAGACACUCUCCUGGCAGAGCAACACUCCUCAGCCAGAGCCCGACCUUUGCCCUCUGCCCCCGACCUAACCCUCUCACCUACCCACAGCACAUUAGGUAGGUGUCACCAAUGUGCUGCACCUUACACUUUGUGCUUCUCUUUCCUUGCCCCACUGCUGGGAGCUGAGAGUGCAGCGCUUGUGUCGCUGCUGGAGACGUUCUGAGAGGAGCAGUCGGCUGCACUCAUGCAGCAGAAAGGCUCUGUUGAGUCACUGUAAGUGCUGUUGGGAAAGUGUUUAUCUAAGAAGUGAUUAAGGAGUAAAGACCCUUAACAAUGUAGGUUAUCGGGUAUUAUCUGCCAUCAAGCAGUCCUCCCCAUGUCAUGAAGUCGCUGCUCACGUGGAGGCCUUUGCUCUCAUUCAGGCAAGAGUCAGCACGUGGCAGACUUGGGAUCUGCUGCUGUGCCAUGUGAGCUGAAUUCUUAUUAAAAAACACCUGUAAUAAAGUUUGUCUGGCAGGCCUUAGGAGCUUUUUCUGCUGGAGAAGACUAAAGUAUGGAUGUGAGUUGAAAAAAAUCAUCCAAAACACUUAGGACAGUCUUAGCCACUCUGCUAGAGGGGAGUUGCUCCAAGAGGAGGUCAGAGAGGAUCAGACAGUGGACUUUUACCCUUAUCACUCCACAUAUGUUCAAGUCAUAGUGAAAAAGGUUAAUAAAGUCAAUUCCUUAUUUCAUAUGAGUUGAGCCAGCUUCAGUAGAUGACAAAUAAGAAAUUAUUCAAGUAAUAUGCUGAAUAGCUGGUUCUCAGUCCAGGUUAAACACUUGAUGAUAAUCCAGAAAUUCAAAAAAAUGGGAGAGAAUUUUCUCCGUGUUGGUAAGCAAGACUCUGUCCUGGCACAAACCAGAGCAGGGCUCUAGACAGACCUUGCAGAGUUACGUGUGUGUUGCAGGUCUCUCAAGAACAUGCCAAAAAGUUCUGCACUGCAGAUAUUCCUCACAUUGUAUGACCAUUUUGCUCUUUAGGAUUUCUCAAAUUUCAGUUAACUGGCCCUUCAUGCUGCUGAGCAGCCAGUUCUACAAAACAAGGGGAAUUUGCUGUCUCUGCAUUACAUUCUGUGGUUUUGUUCUUUCCAUCCUCACAGUAAAGGCUCCAUGCACUGUCUGCUUAGGUUAGUACCAAACUCAGUAGUGAAGCAAGGCAGUGGUCUGAAAUUUAAACUUCUGCUUUCUACAGAAUGAACAAAAUGUAAUCGUUGGUUAAUCUUGCGGCAGUUCUCAGAAAACCUCCUUGAUGAGAUCUAUUUGUGAACAGAAGAUUUUGAAAAAUGUGCCCCAUUCCAGCAUUACAGACAAUAGGGAUCUAUUAGGAUCUUUGCUAUGAGAAGAUGGAAGACACCUUGCCUUUGUCCAUACUACAGACAGAUCUAAAUUCAAUUGCAGCUGUGCUGUGCCAAGAUCAGUUAGGGGCUGCUGAACAGUAGCUACAUGGGAGACACAGAGGGAUCAGCUUUGAAGUGUUGCUUAGCCCCCUUAUUUCAGCAUAGAAAUACCUUGUCAGGGUACUGUGGCUGAGAGCACCAUUGGAAGUUCUGCUCUCACUACCAAAACUCUGCAGCAAUUUUGCUGCACAAAACAUCCACACAGAACAAAGACAGCUGCACAAAACUGAAUGGUGUGCUCUUUUCUCCCACUUUUUUUCACAGGAACAGGGGGGAUAAAAAAAAACUCCACCACUGCACCAUUUCUUCUCACCUUAUCAGGAACUCCCUGCCCUUCAAUCUCUGGUAAUUCCUGAGGAUGUAGCACUGUGGUGGUGCAAGAUCUGGCCCUUUACCCCUCUCUGGCUUCUUCACGAUCUCAGGGACACUCCUUAGGCCUCAGCCUUGAUUACUGGCUCGUGGGCAGUCAGCUCCCCCUGAGCUUAUCAGAAAAACUGUCUGCUCCCAGGAACUUCUGUUGCCUAACGAGCUUCUGUUUUCUAAAAAAACAGCUUUGAAAACUUAUUUUUGUUUGAGCAACAGCCUAAGAGGAAUAAUAUUAUUAUUAGACUUCUCAAGGAAAAUUCCAGUAACUACCGGCCUGGAUUGUGGCCACAGUGGAAAUUUACUGAUGACCAGAGUAAAUCAUCUUGCAGCCCUGUAAAGAGUGGCCCUAAGUGAGACCCCCUGAGAUCCCCUGGGCUGCACCACAUCUCCCUCAGAGUGGGACAUCUCUAGAGCUCAACAACUCAGAGGACCACUGACGACAGGGCCUGAUACCGCCCCCUCCUCAAGGCUCAGCUGUUGAGAAAUGCAAAGGCAUCCGAUAAUGAGAGAGGGAGAUUUGCACUGAGAUGCUGUACUUUUUGGGAUGAAGAGGAGUGUUUUAUGAAGGACCAUCUUUCCUAACCCUUAACCAAAAGGAAACAGGUACUGUGGAUAGGUGGCCUCCCACCAGAGCUGUUCAAGAUAGUACUGAGAAAAAAAGAAGUCUUUGGAGGUCAGAAGAUGGAAUAUAUUACCACUCUAAAAAUAGCUACAAGCCCUUUACAAAGAGUUAUAUGUGUGUAGUUCAGCUGUGAUUUGUAAAUGUAACAAAAAAGAAGCAGUUAUGUUUUUGCCAGUAUGUAAACUGGAUAAUCUGAUAGUCCUUCUUUGUCUGUGAACAGUCAGUAUUUAAGCUGAGAGAAGAAAAGUACUUGUGCAUACCCUGCAUGAGCACUGACAGACCAUUCAGAUGUACUGAACAGAAGCACCCGGGUGUGGGACCAGGCAUUGAACUGGCCCCAAAGGAGUUCUGUAGGCAGCUCAAGUCAGUAGAGUACAGAAAAUAACAUCAAGGAACUGAAGGCUCUUACCUGUGAGCAGUUUCAGCUAAUUAGAGCGUACAGGCAUUUUCCCUUUAUAAUGACCUUGCUUAAGUAAAAUGCAAGGAGUAUUUGAAGGACUGUUAGACUCUGGUCUUAUAUUCACAAGAUACUUGAGGGAAAGGUGGCUAGAGAAUUUUACAAUUCAGUCUAACACUGAAGACUGCAGACAGAAAAGAACAGGGGAUCUAUCCAGCCAUCCACUUCCUCUUGUUGCAGCAUAAGGCUUCCUCAGAGUUAACAUUCUGGUGCUUUGUCACAAAAUAACACAGUCAGUUCCAGAUAUCCUGUCCACUGGCACCUGACAAAUCACAGGACCUGUUCUCCUGUUGACACCUCCCUUGCUGUGAGGGAUGUGUUGUGUUGGUCACUGUCAGCCACAUUUGCUCAGGUGGCACCUCUUCUUGUGCUCCAACUUUCACCUUCCAUCCCUAAAAGUUCCAUCCUCAGAUAUUUCCAAAGUGUUAUCAUGCCUCUGUAGCUAUUUUAAACUUUAUAAUAUAUACCAUGAACCCAGGAUUAUUUUAUUUUUUUCCUGGAAGAUGUCUCCAAUCCUGUUCCUGGAAAAUUCAUUAUUUCCUGGAUGAUUUUCAUGCAACUGUCUUCAAUUUGUAACAAAGUGGCUGAACUGGAAUGCAGUGUUUUAAAUGAAAGUUUCAAAUGGACACAGGUUUUUAUUUCUUUCUAUGCAGUCUGAUGCUCUACAUUGCUAAUGUCUCCCACAUUUAUCAUCCUCUGGGCAAAACAUUUAUCCUUGUUUCUUUUUGCAUUCCAGGUUUUAACUGCUUUAAUAUAGAUUAGUUUGCAUUUUCUGAAUAUUUUCACUUUUAAUUUCUUGCCAGCCUUUAAAUUACUUCUGUGCAAGUAUGGGAGAAAGUUUAAAAUCUUUAAUUGUUUCAUCAAAAUGAAUUCUGAGCUGUGAGGUACUGCAGAGCCCUCAGCAAGAGAAGUCUGAUAUUUAAGUCCUUAAUUUACUGUGUGGAUACUUUUAUUGUAGAUCAUUCUAGUGCAGCACCAGUUAUUACUUAGUCUCACCAUAGAAAAUGUGUUCUUCCUCUAUAUUGUCUUGUUUGGUCUCCCUGAACUUACAAAAUUAUACUUUUAUCAGUCUUUUCAUACACGUGUUUCAAGUUCAGUGUGAGAAGUGGUAACUGCAGUAAAUAUGGAAGGAAGAGCCUGAGCUCCAGUGAAAAUCAAAAGCUUUGACCUCUGUUGUGCUUCUAUGCGUCAAUGGUGCUUUCACUUCCUUUUCUCAAGAUAUUGUUUAGAGCUGUGUAUGAAUAGAAAUGUUCACAGAAGUUAUUAAAAAAUAAAAGGAUGGAAUCCAAAAGUAA